This 67-nucleotide transfer RNA is filed under the name Schistosoma mansoni. The record is from RNAcentral. Lineage: Eukaryota; Metazoa; Platyhelminthes; Trematoda; Strigeidida; Schistosomatidae.
CUCAGUAGCUGAGUGGAUAACGUGAUGGCGUUUGAAGCGAAAGGUACCGGGUUCGAGUCCCAGAGUA